GAUUCUCCUUUUUUUUUUUUUCUCCCCUUUCUUUUUUUUUUUUUUUUUCCCUCCUAUGUUUUUGGCCGCGGCCAACCAGCGAAGGGCCCUCCCCCUCCGGCACGGCCCCGCUGCUCCCCAGCCUCCGCAGCGGCCGCGCUCCCGGAGCAUGUCCCCCCCUGCCCCUGCCUUCCCCGCCGCCGCCGCGGCCACGCCGCCCGCCGAGCCGCUGCCCUGAGCCGGGCGGCACCGGCAGCCCCCGGCCCCGGGAGCGGAGCCGGCCCCGCAGCCGUCCCCUCGCGGGCUCGCUGCCUGCCGUGCUUGCUCGGAUGCGUCUGCGACAUGCCUGAGAAGAGACGAGAUGGGCCAGGGCGACGAGAGCGACCGCAUUGUGAUCAACGUGGGAGGGACUAGGCACCAGACUUACCGCAGCACCCUCCGCACCCUGCCCGGCACUCGGCUGGCCUGGAUCGCCGAGCCCGAUGCCCACAGCCACUUCGACUAUGACCCCCGCACGGAUGAGUUUUUCUUCGACCGCCACCCGGGCGUCUUCGCCCACAUCCUGAAUUACUACCGCACGGGCAAGCUGCACUGCCCCGCCGACGUGUGCGGGCCCCUGUACGAGGAGGAGCUGGCCUUCUGGGGCAUCGAUGAGACCGACGUGGAGCCCUGCUGCUGGAUGACCUACCGGCAGCACCGCGACGCCGAAGAGGCCCUGGACAGCUUCGGCGGGGCGCCCCUGGAUAGCAGCGCCGAGGACGGCGACGUCGAUGGCACCGGAGACUCCGGUGACGGGGAAGAGGAGCUGGAGAUGACAAAACGCCUGGCGCUCAGCGACUCCCCCGAUGGCAGGUCCGGGGGCUUCUGGCGGCGGUGGCAGCCCCGCAUCUGGGCGCUCUUCGAGGACCCCUACUCCUCCAGAUAUGCAAGGUAUGUGGCAUUUGCCUCCCUCUUCUUCAUUCUGGUCUCCAUCACCACCUUCUGCCUCGAGACCCACGAGAGAUUUAACCCCAUUGUGAACAAGACAGAAACUGAAUUCAUCGGGAAUGACACCCAGGUGCGGCACUACAGGGAAGCAGAGACUGAAGCCUUUCUCACCUACAUCGAAGGUGUCUGUGUGGUCUGGUUUACAUUUGAGUUCUUGAUGAGAGUCACUUUCUGCCCAAACAAGGUGGAAUUUAUCAAAAACUCUUUGAACAUCAUUGACUUUGUGGCCAUACUGCCUUUCUAUCUAGAGGUUGGACUCAGUGGCCUGUCUUCCAAAGCUGCUAAGGAUGUCCUGGGCUUCCUCCGCGUAGUCCGUUUCGUGCGAAUCCUGCGAAUUUUCAAGCUGACCCGCCACUUUGUUGGGUUGCGGGUCUUGGGACACACCCUCCGUGCCAGCACAAACGAAUUCUUGCUGCUCAUCAUAUUUUUGGCAUUGGGCGUCUUAAUCUUUGCCACGAUGAUCUAUUAUGCCGAGAGAAUAGGUGCUAAACCAAAUGACCCUAGUGCCAGUGAACACACACACUUUAAAAAUAUCCCCAUCGGCUUCUGGUGGGCUGUUGUCACCAUGACGACCCUGGGCUACGGAGACAUGUAUCCUCAGACUUGGUCAGGCAUGCUGGUGGGGGCGCUCUGUGCUCUCGCUGGCGUGCUGACCAUUGCCAUGCCUGUCCCUGUCAUUGUGAACAAUUUCGGAAUGUAUUACUCCUUAGCUAUGGCUAAGCAGAAGCUACCAAAGAAAAAAAAGAAGCAUAUCCCGAGGCCACCCCAGCUGGGAUCCCCCAAUUAUUGUAAAUCUGUCGUAAACUCUCCACACCACAGUACUCAGAGCGACACUUGCCCACUGGCCCAAGAAGAAAUUUUAGAAAUUAACAGAGCAGAUUCGAAACUGAAUGGUGAGGUGGCCAAGGCGGCGCUGGCAAACGAAGACUGUCCCCACAUAGACCAGGCUAUUACGCCUGAUGAGGGCCUGCCCUUUACCCGCUCUGGCACUCGGGAGAGAUAUGGACCCUGCUUCCUCUUAUCAACCGGGGAAUAUCCCUGCCCGCCUGAUGGAGGAAUAAGAAAGGGUUACGAAAUGUCACGGAGCCUUAACAGCAUAGCUGGCAUAAGUGGAAAAGCGAUAGGAUUAUCCUCAGUGUCUGCGCCCUACAGCUCUCCUAGUCCAGUGAGACGUUCUUGGUCUCCCAUCCCAUCUAUUUUGUAGCAUGGAUCAGUAGCAGAGAAUGGUCUAAAAAGCUUUAUUUUCAAUUAGCCUAUGCUAUGUUGCAUAUAAUCCAGGUGACUAAGUCUGAAGAUGCAAUGUCUCACAGUAGCACCUGCUGGGAAUGGUGUUACUACUGAUGCUAGGUGACAACACUCCUAAAUAGCACUCAGAUGACAAUAGGCAGGCGUUUACAUAGUACUGGUGGGCCAUACAUGCUGCAUGGUAUCAGUACAUAGGAUGAAGGGUAGAUGCACCAGAUAGCUUCCUUCCUGGUGCAUCGUGCUAGUAUAUGCUUAUUGUGGCUAAUGGCGGAUCUACUGGCUCUGUAUGGAAUGGGUUAGGCAUAUAGCCGAUGCUGAAACAUGCCAACGAUGGAAGAUUUUGCUUUUCUCAGGAUAUUUUUGAGCCAUAGAAACCCUGCAGGAGUUUGAGCAAACAAGCACAGUAGGAUGAAACUUUGCAUGGGCGCCUAUUUUAAGCUGAAAGCAAUACUCAGACACACUGUAGAGAGGUCUCAGUCUGGCUGACUGCAUGGAAAAAAAAUCCUGUUGAAGAAGAAUAUGGCUGCCUCUGCAUGUAGCUAUUUCACCUUUUCCUCCUUCCUUUAAAACUAAGAUGCCAAGCUUGAUGUGAAAAGCACAGGGAAGAAGCUCAAGUACUGAUUGUAUUCUUUACAUGCAGAUCUUUGCAAAGAAAGUCCAGUCAUUGCUAAAUAUAUGCCAACAGAGGCAGUCAGAGUGACCUGACAAGGCGAGAUGGAGAUGAACAUUGAUGGCUAAUAAACAUCUGUGUGGAACUGUGCAGGCAUAGAAGACCUUCUCAUUUGGACAAAGUUAACUCGCUCCAUGCAGGUUUUACGGAUGAUUCUUCAUGGUUCUGGAGUUGUACUAGAGAUGCAGGCUUUUUCUACGGCCAAAAUGUAACAAAACUGUAGAAGAUCUUUUUUUUUAAAUCUAUUUUUUUGUUCCAUAGCAUGAAUUGCAUGAAGACAAAAAUAGAAAAAAAAUAAAAAACAAGAAACACUGCAAAUGUAUGAUUAAGGAGAAAAAAGCAAAGUUAUAUAUUUUCUUUCAAAGCUCUUUACUUUUACAUACAUUGUUGUAGCUAAAAAUGUAAAACAUAAAACUGUACAUUUCUUUGCUAUGGAUCGCUUCUUUUUGUAUACAAGAUACAGAGUAAUGGUUUUAAAAAGUGCAAUCAGGCAGUCAUCGGUCAUAUUGACCACGCCUUCAUAGUUCAUCACACCGACAUGGAAAUCAAGAACUUUUAAUCCAACUAGAAGUGUAUAAAAAUAAGAAACUUUUUCCUGUCUGUUUUUGUUGGCAUGCUUGUGACACAUGGGACCUUCCUUCAGACCUGACAGUAACAGCUGGUCUAGAUUUAAUUUUCCAGCUCUGGUUAUGUUGUAUUUUAUUGAUGUAUAGAUCCAACGUAAAGACCCUUCAUAAAUUGUUCAUAUUAAGUAAUCAGUAUGAAUUUUAAACAAAAAAGGUGUUAUUUUAAAACUGGGACUUAUAGUACAAAAUCAGGAAGAUACUCGAGUAUAAAUUGUCUCAAAGUUUAAGAAACAAGACAACAGCAUUGUAUGCAAUUUAGUACUGAGUAAAAUGCAUGCACAAUGUUAUGCAAAACAAUUCUAGCAUGAAAUAAAUUUUGUAUCAUGGUUUCAGUGCCUGCUGUAUAGUGUAAAGGGGAAUCCUUUUCUGAAGCGAUCAGGGGUUUCCAGAGACUUGCUUCUAAAAUCUUGAAUAAAUACAGUGUUCUCAACAGAAACGUAGGAGAAGAGCUUGGUAUUGCUUUGGUUCUACAAUGCUAAUUUGGGUUAGUAGAUAAUAAAUGAAGCCUGCAAACACUUGAUACAACCGAUGUCUGAAGAAUUCACACCAUUAGUAAUUUUAACAGGGAAGAUUUAAAAACCCUAUAAUUAUCUAGAUAUCUUCCUUUUCCCUCCUCAACAACAAUAAAAGUUUGUCUUUUUAGCUGAUUAAAUGAAUUCAGUUUUUCUUACUUCUUUGGGCCCCGUCCUUCACUUGUUCUUCACUGAGCCACUGAGCCUCCUGAUACAAAACCCUGAAAGAAAUCCAGGUGUUUGAGUCGUAUUUUAUUUGCCACAUGAAACAUGCAGCAGUAAGAACCAAGAAACACAACAGGACAAAUUCAUUUUAGAACCUAGACAUGACAGCUAUGAACUAUGUGUCAACAGCAUUUUGGUGAAGUACUUUCUAUAAGGAAGGAUACACCUUUAUCCUCACAUGAAGCACUUUAAAAGAGCUGGCAACCUUCUAAACAAAAGCGAUGGCAUCUGGGACUGCUGAUGAGGAAGAAAAUGUAAUAGAAUAGCAUCCCUAAGGUCUGGAGGAAGUAGAGAUUAAAACAAACAAACCAACAACACCACAAAGAAGAACCACUUAUGGCUCUGGCAAACACCAAUGGUACUUCUUAUGACUAAGGCUCAUGGGUGCUGCACAGGGUUUUCCUUUUGGUGUUACUCAAACGUUUCAAUUCCUCCCAGCAGGAAAGCACCUUCAGCUCAGCACUGAACAAAACAUGGGCUCACGACUUUGUGCAAGACUGAACGUAGCCGGACCACUGACGAUACGUGAGGAUUAUAUCAUACAUGAAGCAGCUGCAGUGCAGAGAGGAAUAAGCAUUAAAGAUGCUUGCUUUUUACACCUGUAGAAGACUAGAAAAUCUUGAAAUUUUGCUUUCUGAAAUACAGGACAAGAACACCUGACAAAUUUGUCAGUGGAGAAAUUUGUCUUAAGGCUCUGAAUGUUAACCUGCUUCAACAGAGUAUCAGGCAUGGCAGAAAGCGACACUCAUUUGCACAGCUUACACCCCUGCCUCUCAAAAUGACAGGCACAAAAUGUGUCAGUGCUCUCUGUGUGACCACAACUAGACAGUCAUGGUCUCGUUGCAGAGACAGGGACAGAAGUCCUGUGACUAUUUCUGCAUGACAUGAAGGAGAAUAUAUGGAAAAUACCUUUUACUAAGUGCUUAGUAAGAGGUUGUCCGUGGCAAGUAAAAUGGCCAAAGCAAUAUUCCAAAGCACACCUAGGAGGGGGUGAGAGUCAUUUAGAUGUCCCUUGAGACCAUUCGGAGCCACGGCUGUUUGCACCCAUGUAUUCUGGGUAUAAAGCAUUACUGUGUCAAACUUACACACACUUUCAGCUGAAAUAAAUGAUUAUACCAAGAAAAGGAGGGGACAGCUGCAAUUCAUUCUGACCUAGAACAUUGCCUUUAAUUCUGGGUCUUGUAUGUUAAUCUUCAACACACCACUAGGAAAAGCAACAGAUGAGUGCAGAGAUGGACGCAGAUGCGAGAAUGGGCAACUCCUCCGACUGCAUUACAGCUACACGUAGCUUACCGCGCACGCUAAGGAAAUCGCAGAGCAGCAGAAGUUACAGACGGCAAGAUAGGCAGCAGCAUGCAGGUAAAAUGGUGCUUCCUUCUACUUUGUUGGUUGAAAUCAGAAACGAGAUCACACUAGGAUCUCUCAGGAAUCCUCUCCUCAAGAAAGAAUAGCUAAGUAGGAAAAGAAUAUUUUGGAAAUGCUUUGGCACUUAAUGGGUUUUAUAAAGCAACUCUUUAUACCAUACACUGGUCUAUUUACAAGUAUACAGUUUUAAGGUGAUAAGGUAUACCAGGCUAUAUAUGGCUGUCAGUCCUUGACAGCUUAUAAAAAAAUACUUAUGAUACAAUAAAAGGUAAACAGAUAUUCGAUAUGGUCACGUUUACCUACAAUUUCUGCUUGUCUGACUGCUAUUCUCUUCCCCUGAAGGGCUGUUUCCACUGAGCAAAAGCGAGUGUUUUGUUCUGGGAUUUGUUUCUGAAGAUGUUCUUUCCUGCAGAACACAAUUAUCUGUAACUCAGAACCAAGAAGUGAAAUGCUUGCUCCUUCCAUAUGGAUAUCUUCUGUAAAAUAGCUUUAUGCUUAAAUGGGCUUUAGUUUGAAUGUUUCCCCUUUCACUUUUCUUCAUCAGUUGCAAGGCUGCAUUUUGGUCAAGUUUCAAGAUAUGUGGUAUGAACGCACGCUGCUGUUGAGUGAAAUUUUAUAAAUCUGCUUGUUGAUACUGAACAAGUGAGGGCUUUUUUUCCAUGCUUAACAAGUAAUCUGAGGUGAAGUCCAGGUCAUUAGCUAAAGCAUUAGAAAUGCAAAGAGAAAAGACAAGAAAACAAGUGUUCACUGAGUUGCUCAGUUCCUUUCUUAUUGAUUGAACCAGCAGAUUUUCUCAGAGCUCCACAAAUCCUGUCUCCUAACAGACAGUAGUUGCAACUCAGCAGUGAAGUUAUUAGUAUGCCUUACUUUGAUGAAGUUUCAAGCUGUAAUGUUAGCAUAGCACAGCAUCUCAGAUCCCGGUUCCCCUGCAAGAGUCACUUUGCAGUUUUAACAGUGACACCACUGAAAUGUGUGUGUACAAAAGAGCUUUAAAAUACAAGCUCGAUGCAAGCUAUAACAUAGCUAGAGAAAAAGGGAAUUCAGGAUGAACUGAUUUACCCCCCUUUCUGGGCAGGAUUUUCAGAUUACAUUUCCUCCAUGCUGCAACUGUUGUUCUUGAUUUAGCCUACUUGUAUCUGGUUCAAAUGUGCCUAUACCACACUGUACUGUAGUGCAAGUGCACAUCUAAUAAAACCCCUAUGGACCAUGUGCCUUGUCUGUCUCGGUUUUUGCGCCUAUUCUUAUAGGGAUUCUUAAACUAGUCACUGUGUUGGGGGCCUAAACAGGAUAACUCAGGAUCUACUCAGACAGCACAAUGGCUGGGUCAUUUGAGCACCUAUAGAGAGAGCAAAAAGUAAAUGACUUAGUAACAUCCCCAUGUUAGCAGUGCUGGAGCUCAAAACCAUCAUUCCCCUCACGCAGCACAGUUCUGCGAACUAACAGCAUCCCUUUCAAAGAAGGAAACAGAGUGACUUGACUGAGCUAUGAAAGAAGAUGAAAGCAAGUUAAAAAAAAAAUCCCAUAAUUCAGACUUCACUGACCUUAAAGAGAUUUACUUCAAGUGUGUGUACCAGAAGCAAGUCAUGUUUGUUCAAAGUGGCAGAUGAAACGCAAGGUUUUUACC
RNA transcript from Cygnus olor (mute swan), 7233 nucleotides. It is a transcript of the gene named potassium voltage-gated channel subfamily C member 1, with no coding region annotated. The record is from RefSeq and is a predicted model, not a curated record. The transcript is spliced from 5 exons. NCBI's taxonomy places the organism in Eukaryota, Metazoa, Chordata, Aves, Anseriformes, Anatidae.